Molecule: RNA transcript, 1777 nt
Organism: Nicotiana attenuata
Lineage: Eukaryota; Viridiplantae; Streptophyta; Magnoliopsida; Solanales; Solanaceae
Exons: 3
Source: RefSeq, a predicted model, not a curated record
UACUAAUUAUAAUUUCUUUUACUAAAAGAACUGUUCAUCGUCUUUAUGUGUUGUGUGCUUUCAACUUAGAGUUAAAGGUUGUCGAUUAAUGUUUGAUGUGUUAUAAAACAUAUAAAAAGAAAUGAUUAAUCAUGCAUGUGAAAUUGUGAAACUUGGGAAGAUGUUUAAUCUGUGCUAAAUAACAAGACACUCCAUAUUCACGAAGUCCUCUUCUGUUAGAUGUGUAUAUCUUUGCUGAACGUAUUGGUGUAGACUGUACUUUUGGCUUGCAUUUUACCAUAUAUUGUUUAUUUUCUCCAAGUGAAAUGGAAAAUGAAGGGUAAUUGAGUUGUACAAAAUAUAUUUUUGCCGUUGAAAGAAUCAAUUAUGUUACACAGAUGGCGCCGGGUAAAAAAAAGAAGAUAAGACAUGCUUCCCAGCUUCCUCAGCACACUUCAAGUCCUACUAGCUCGUCUGUGCCAUUUAUGAGUCGUCCUCCUCCUCCUCCUCCUCCUCCUCCUUCUCCUCAACAGACUUCACUGCCACCCGGCUUCUUCACUUUGCCCCCUUGUGAUCUAGUUAAAUAUAAGCCUAUCUCUAAUUCCCAGAGCAUGCACACUAUACCAUCUUCUUCGAUAGCUUAUCGUACUAGUCAACAUGGUGGCUCCUUAUCUAUGCCUCUGUGAUCAUUCACUCCAUCCUCAUGCUACCAUGUUAGUCAGAAUGGUGGUCCGGCAUCCAUGGCUCCAUCUUCAUCUCCAUCAUCAUCCACUCCUAGUGUUUCUAGGCCACAUGUUGGAGGCUCUACCAUGCCGUCAUCCCCAUCCAUUGAUACAUCUACACCUGCUGCUGAAGAUACAUAGACUCAGACUUUUGAAGAGAUUGUAUCAUAUGAUGAUCAUCACAGACUGCUUAUCAUUCCUGAUGGUACUACUGGGUAAGCAAUUACUUUAUCAUUCAUUUGAAUUGUUGAAUAUAUUUUAGACAUAUGUUAAUUUUAAUGCAGGUUUGUUCCCUCUAAUGAAUCUACGAAAGUGGUUGUGGAUUGUGUUAAAGCAUUUUACCGAGAUGCUUGGAGUAAAUGGUCAGAUAUACCGUAUUUUUACAGAGAUCAGAUGUGGAAUCAAUUUAGGACAAGGUGUGCAUGGCAUCCCAAAUAUCAUCAGCAAAUAAGUCAUAAAUUUCGAGAAAAAAGGUGCUGAUAGGCUUAAGAAUCUCCUCUAUAAGCUCGGUUUGAUGGCAAGAUGCCCGAUUUGAUACUAAAAGACAUAUGGGAAAAACUUAAGGUGAUAUGGGCUUCUCCAGAAUUUAAGAAGAGGAGCAACGCCGGAAAGGCUGCCCGAGCCUCCAAUAUGGGUGGCUCAUUGCACACUGGGGGUUCAGUUAGUAUGGAGACCCAUCAAAGGAGAAUGGAAAAGGAAAAAGGGAGACUUGUGACUUAUGCUGAGGUCUUUGAGGACAAACAUAUGAAAAAGAAAAAGGACGGUACAAGAGAAUGGGUCGAGCCCCGCGCAUAUGUAAGAUCCUAACAACAAGAUUCUCUAGUUUCUUCUUUUGGUUUUGCAUUGGGAUAACACUUAGUCUGAUUCUUACAAGAUUAGCACAAGAAACUCUUGUGAGUUAAACUAUUAGUAAUCAAUGAAUUUAACAUCUUUCAGUUGGUAUUUGCUUAAGUAUUUCCUUAAAAGUUGUGUGAGAUAGCAACUGUAUGAUUGCAUGAGCAAAUAAGGAAUUAUAGACAUACACAUGAAUAAUUUGCCAAAUAGAUAUCUCAAAAUAGUACUAGAGAAGUGGGUAA